Molecule: ribosomal RNA, 254 nt
Filed under: uncultured bacterium
Lineage: Bacteria
Description: partial 16S ribosomal RNA
Rfam family: Bacterial small subunit ribosomal RNA
Source: RNAcentral
UACGGGGGGAGCAAGCGUUGUUCGGAUUUACUGGGCGUAAAGGGCGCGUAGGCGGCCACCGCAAGUCAGUUGUGAAAUCUCUGGGCUUAACCCAGAAAGGUCAACUGAUACUGCGGGGCUAGAGUGCAGAAGGGGCAACUGGAAUUCUCGGUGUAGCGGUGAAAUGCGUAGAUAUCGAGAGGAACACCUGCGGCGAAGGCGGGUUGCUGGGCCGACACUGACGCUGAGGUGCGAAAGCGUGGGGAGCAAACAGG